GGGAGUACUGAUUAAUCUCUGGAAACUACUGUACCCCAAACUCAUAUCUCAUGGAGUGGGUGUGGAGGCUCCUUUUCCUGCUGGCAGCUGCCCAAAGUGUCCAAGCACAGGUUCAGCUGGUGCAGUCAGGACCUGAGCUGAAACAGCCUGGACAGUCAGUGAAGAUCUCCUGCAAGGCUUCAGGGUACACCUUCACAAGCUAUGGAAUGAACUGGGUGAAGCAGGCACCAGGACAGGGCCUGAAGUGGAUGGGCUGGAUCAACACCAACACUGGGAAUCCAACAUAUGCUGAGGACUUCAAAGGUCGGUUUGUCUUCUCUUUGGACACUUCGGUCAGCACUGCGUACCUGCAGAUCAGUAGCCUCAAGAACGAAGACACGGCCAUGUAUUACUGUGCAAGACACACAGUAUGAAAACCACAUCCUGAG
Molecule: non-coding RNA, 428 nt
Organism: Peromyscus leucopus (white-footed mouse)
Lineage: Eukaryota; Metazoa; Chordata; Mammalia; Rodentia; Cricetidae
Source: the annotation of a RefSeq genome assembly